This 436-nucleotide unclassified non-coding RNA is filed under the name Hevea brasiliensis (rubber tree). The record is from RNAcentral. Lineage: Eukaryota; Viridiplantae; Streptophyta; Magnoliopsida; Malpighiales; Euphorbiaceae.
UGGCGGGAAGAUGACAAGGAUGGCCAUUACAUGUUUGCGAUUGGAGAAAAUUUAACUUCUCGCUAUAAGAUACACAGCAAGAUGGGUGAAGGCACCUUUGGUCAGGUCUUGGAAUGCUGGGAUAGAGAAAGAAAAGAGAUGGUUGCAAUCAAAAUUGUCCGCGGGAUUAAGAAGUAUCGUGAAGCUGCUAUGAUAGAGAUUGAAGUGCUGCAACAGCUUGGUAAACAUGAUAAAGGUGGAAAUCGUUAUGCAUGACUUGCGUCUGAUUCAUACUGACUUGAAACCUGAGAACAUUCUUCUAGUUUCUCCAGAUUAUGUGAAAGUUCCUGAUUACAAGGGUUUGUCCCGAUCACCAAAGGAAGGCUCCUACGUUAAGAGAGUCCCAAAGUCGAGUGCUAUUAAGGUGAUUGAUUUUGGUAGUACUACUUAUGAGCGC